This 104-nucleotide ribosomal RNA is filed under the name Acanthosepion pharaonis. The record is from RNAcentral. Lineage: Eukaryota; Metazoa; Mollusca; Cephalopoda; Sepiida; Sepiidae.
UUACGGCAAUAUCACGUUGAAACACCGGUUCUUGUACGACCACCGAAGUUAAGCAAAGUCGAACUUGGUCAGUACCUAGAUGGGUGACCGCUUGGGAAUACCAG